CCUACGGGAGGCAGCAGUGGGGAAUAUUGCACAAUGGGGGAAACCCUGAUGCAGCGACGCCGCGUGAGUGAAGAAGUAAUUCGUUAUGUAAAGCUCUAUCAGCAGGGAAGAAAAUGACGGUACCUGAGUAAGAAGCCCCGGCGAACUACGUGCCAGCAGCCGAGGUAAUACGUAGGGGGCAAGCGUUAUCCGGAUUUACUGGGUGGAAAGGGAGCGUAGACGGCAUUGCAAGUCUGGAGUGAAAGGCGGGGGCUCAACCCCCGGACUGCUGUGGAAACUGUACGGCUGGAGUGCAGGAGAGGUAAGUGGAAUUCCUAGUGUAGCGGUGAAAUGCGUAGAUAUUAGGAGGAACACCAGUGGCGAAGGCGGCUUACUGGACUGUAACUGACGUUGAGGCUCGAAAGCGUGGGGAGCAAACAGGAUUAGAUACCCGUGUAGUC
This 440-nucleotide ribosomal RNA is filed under the name uncultured bacterium. RNAcentral's name for it is "partial 16S ribosomal RNA". It matches the Rfam family "Bacterial small subunit ribosomal RNA", at positions 338 to 795 of the family's 1533-position model. The record is from RNAcentral.